UCGAACCGGUGCGCCUAGGCGCCAUAGAGCCCGGUUUGUGCCAUCGCCGGCGCUCGUUGGGUUUGUUUCUGCAGGCCUCCCCAAAAGAAAAUGGGAUGGUUUCUUCCCUGUUGUUAGUCCAGAGGUUGCUACUAGAAACCGAAAAAGGCGCAAGGUCAUACAUGAUAGGCAGCGUGGGCGCACACCAGAUGCUCCAUUUACUUCCCCCUUGGAGCCUUUGUGGGUUGGGUUUACAACAGAGGAGGUUGAUAUCUUAAAAG
Lolium perenne is the source of this 260-nucleotide non-coding RNA. The record is from RefSeq and is a predicted model, not a curated record. NCBI's taxonomy places the organism in Eukaryota, Viridiplantae, Streptophyta, Magnoliopsida, Poales, Poaceae.